CUUAACCAACUGAGACACCCAGGAGCCCUGGCAAGAGAAAUUCUUGAUUUUAUAAGUAAGCGAUGUGGGGCCAGCGAUGUGCCUGAGUAGGAGAGUGACUUGGACAGAGCUUUGUCUCCAGAAAAAUAACCAAGCAGCCACCUUCUGCAUAACAUCACGGAACAGAGAGAGAAUAAGAGAAAAGAUUUAUCACAUCUGCUCAGAAAGUCUUCACCGGCCUCUUUCUGGAAUGUAUGCCACAGGACCGACUCUCUCUCUAAAAACACAGUGAUGCUUCUCAAGUAGCUAAACAAGCCAUAGAGGACAACCCCUCCACAGAGAGAGGAAAUGGAAGAUUCAGAAAAACACCAGAUGUGAUUAGUCAAUUCACAGAAUCUGUGACCAUAUUCUGGACUUCAGUUAUCAUGGUUUUGAGGACUUUCUCCACAACUGGACAGCUCACACCUCACACCAGGGGGCCAAACUUGGGGACAUCAGCACCUGCACAUUACUGGAUUAAGUACUUAGCAGAUAAUUUGUUGGCCAUCAUUUAUU
Leptonychotes weddellii (Weddell seal) is the source of this 534-nucleotide non-coding RNA. Lineage: Eukaryota; Metazoa; Chordata; Mammalia; Carnivora; Phocidae. The record is from RefSeq and is a predicted model, not a curated record.